GACGAACGCUGGCGGCGCGCCUAACACAUGCAAGUCGAACGGAGUCAAGAGGAGCUUGCUUUUCUUGACUUAGUGGCGAACGGGUGAGUAACGCGUGAGUAACCUGCCCUGGAGUGGGGGACAACAGUUGGAAACGACUGCUAAUACCGCAUGAGCCCACGGAUCCGCAUGGAUCUGCGGGAAAAGGAUUUAUUCGCUUCAGGAUGGACUCGCGUCCAAUUAGCUAGUUGGUGAGGUAACGGCCCACCAAGGCGACGAUUGGUAGCCGGACUGAGAGGUUGAACGGCCACAUUGGGACUGAGACACGGCCCAGACUCCUACGGGAGGCAGCAGUGGGGGAUAUUGCACAAUGGGGGAAACCCUGAUGCAGCGACGCCGCGUGGAGGAAGAAGGUUUUCGGAUUGUAAACUCCUGUCGUUAGGGACGAUAAUGACGGUACCUAACAAGAAAGCACCGGCUAACUACGUGCCAGCAGCCGCGGUAAAACGUAGGGUGCAAGCGUUGUCCGGAAUUACUGGGUGUAAAGGGAGCGCAGGCGGACCGGCAAGUUGGAAGUGAAAACUAUGGGCUCAACCCAUAAAUUGCUUUCAAAACUGCUGGCCUUGAGUAGUGCAGAGGUAGGUGGAAUUCCCGGUGUAGCGGUGGAAUGCGUAGAUAUCGGGAGGAACACCAGUGGCGAAGGCGACUACUGGGCACCAACUGACGCUGAGGCUCGAAAGCAUGGGUAGCAAACAGGAUUAGAUACCCUGGUAGUCCAUGCCGUAAACGAUGAUUACUAGGUGUUGGAGGAUUGACCCCUUCAGUGCCGCAGUUAACACAAUAAGUAAUCCACCUGGGGAGUACGACCGCAAGGUUGAAACUCAAAGGAAUUGACGGGGGCCCGCACAAGCAGUGGAGUAUGUGGUUUAAUUCGAAGCAACGCGAAGAACCUUACCAGGUCUUGACAUCCGAUGCAUAGUGCAGAGAUGCAUGAAGUCCUUCGGGACAUCGAGACAGGUGGUGCAUGGUUGUCGUCAGCUCGUGUCGUGAGAUGUUGGGUUAAGUCCCGCAACGAGCGCAACCCUUAUUGCCAGUUACUACGCAAGAGGACUCUGGCGAGACUGCCGUUGACAAAACGGAGGAAGGUGGGGAUGACGUCAAAUCAUCAUGCCCUUUAUGACCUGGGCUACACACGUACUACAAUGGCGUUUAACAAAGAGAAGCAAGACCGCGAGGUGGAGCAAAAACUCAAAAACAACGUCUCAGUUCAGAUUGCAGGCUGCAACUCGCCUGCAUGAAGUUCGGAAUUGCUAGUAAUCGCGGAAUCAGCAUGCCGCGGUGAAUACGUUCCCGGGCCU
This 1337-nucleotide ribosomal RNA is filed under the name uncultured bacterium. Its description in RNAcentral is "bacterial SSU rRNA". It matches the Rfam family "Bacterial small subunit ribosomal RNA", at positions 28 to 1381 of the family's 1533-position model. The record is from RNAcentral.